CUCGCGCCAAGUCUGGCGGUAGAUCUGCUGCAAGCAGGAGGGGUAGCCCCGUCGGCGGGGGGGCUAGGCUGAGAGCGCCCCCUUCGCUCCGCUUCCCCAGUUGAGUCUUCCCUCCUCUGUUGCCGAAGGACGCUGAGGGGUAGCCAGGGCAGCAACGGCGGAGCGCAGCGCCGCCUCCUUUCUCUUCCUCUCUCCUCCCUCCCGCCUUUCCUCUUCCUCGCCUGGGUCUGCGGAGAUGAGCCGCGCUGGAGACCGACGCCCACCUCGGCAAAGCUGGUGGGAGAGGAGGCGCUGGGGUGCCGGGCUUCCCUGAAGUGCCGUGAGGAUUCUGCCCGCCGGCGUCCGUCUGGAGUGAGUGGAGCGGCCGUCCCCUCGGCCAAGCGCUCCCGCCCCCCUCCUCUGGAUGCUGCCGCUGCUGCUGGUCCACGGCUGCCCCCCCUGCGAGGGCGCGGGAGGCGGGGAGCGCGCAUGGCGGCGGCGCAACAGCGGCGGCGGCGGCGGGGCUCGAGGGGGCGGCCCAGACAGCGUCCGAGGUUGCCGGGGCUGCGGGCGGUACGCUGGCGGCGGGCAGCCCCGUUGCGGCGGGCGCUGUGGCUCCUGGCCUUGGGAGCCUCGCUGGGUUUGCUGCUGGCGUGGUCGUCCAAUCGGCUCCUGCACUGGCUGGAAUUCCCGUCUCACACGACGGUGCGCACGGAGUGGAGCCGUCAGCUGGCCUUCCCGGCCGUCACAUUGUGUAACAAUAAUCCGCUGCGCUUCCCGCGCCUCUCCAAAGGCGACCUGUACUACGCCGGCAACUGGCUCGGCCUCCUUUUGCCCAACCGGACGGCGCGGCCGCUGCUGGCCGAGCUCCUGCGCGCCGAGCCCGAGCGCCUGCGUUGGUUCGCCAAGUUGGCCGACUUCCGGCUCUUCUUGCCACCGCGCCACUUCGGUGGCAUCAGCGAAGAGUUCGUCGACCGCCUCGGCCACCGCCUCGACGACAUGCUCCUCUCCUGCAAGUUCCGAGGCGAAAUGUGCGGCCCGCACAACUUCUCCGCCGUGUUUACGAAAUAUGGGAAAUGCUACAUGUUUAACUCAGGAGAAGAUGGGCAUCCUCUGUUGACCACAUUCAAGGGUGGGACAGGCAAUGGACUGGAGAUAAUGCUGGAUAUUCAGCAAGAUGAGUACUUGCCAAUAUGGGGAGAAACAGAUGAAACUACAUUUGAAGCAGGAGUCAAAGUCCAGAUCCACAGUCAGUCUGAGCCACCAUUCGUUCAGGAACUUGGGUUUGGUGUGGCACCUGGUUUCCAAACUUUUGUAGCCAUGCAAGAACAAAGGCUGACAUACCUUCCACCUCCAUGGGGUGAGUGCCACUCAUCAGACUUUGGCCUUGAGUUUUUCCCCACCUAUAGCAUCACUGCAUGCAGGAUCAGUUGUGAGACCCGCUACGUGGUAGAGAAUUGCAACUGCAAAAUGGUUCACAUGCCAGGGGAUGCUCCAUUUUGUACACCGGAGCAGUAUAAGGAGUGUGCAGAGCCUGCACUAGUGCUUCUUGGUGAAAAAGGUAACGAUUAUUGUGAGUGCCAAACCCCAUGCAAUUUGACCCGUUACAACAAGGAGCUCUCCAUGGUUAAGAUCCCCAGCAAGACCUCAGCUAAAUACCUUGAGAAGAAGUUUAACAAGUCAGAGAAAUAUAUCUCGGAGAAUAUCCUUGUUCUGGAUAUAUUCUUCGAAGCUCUUAACUAUGAGACCAUUGAGCAGAGGAAAGCAUAUGAAGUGGCAGCAUUACUUGGUGAUAUUGGAGGUCAGAUGGGUUUAUUUAUUGGUGCUAGUAUCCUCACUAUUCUGGAAGUAUUUGACUAUAUCUAUGAGCUGAUCAAAGAGAAAUUGUUUGAUCUUCUUGGCCCAGAGGAGGAAGAAGGAAGCCAUGAUGAGAAUGUGCUUUUGAGGUUGACAGAUGUGAAGAUUCAGACAGCUUCCUGAAGGGAUUGGAGGAAAUGGAAACAUUAGCAAUAUGGAAGUGCCUGAGGAGUACAAGGACAAUUAAGAUUAGAGCACGUGUGAACCCUUGUCAAACCACGCUGAUCCCACGAGCCACACUGUGACAGUCCCGCUGCAGACAACACUUGGCACGUUGGAAGAAAUUGCGUGCUGACAGUGCUUCCUCAGCACCAUGGAUGGCAGAACCUACAGAAGCCAGGGAAUCCUACUCAGGCUCACUAACAGGGUGGGGGAACCACUGAGGAAUUCGCUAUGCACCCAACUGUUCUCUUUCUCUCUUCUUGCCAAAAUCAGUGAAAGAUUCCAUGGACUCAGUUGCAUCAGCCUGUCCUACCAGGAUGAGUGGAGGAGGGUGGAGGAAGGGGCAAGGUUUAUCUCCACCAGCGGACAGCACAUCUCAGUUUCUGAACUGGAGAAGUGCGAUGACCAAGGAACCAUUCUUUCAUAGACAGCCUACAGUUAUACAAAGGAAGCCUGCAUGCCAGUCCUUUUGAUGGCAGUCUCUCUCUUUUUCCUUACAAGCCAUGACUCCAUCCAACAACUGUUCCUUUUUUUUGGCCACAACAAAAGUGGAGGCCAUGGCACAGACUUUCCUGCUCAAAAGUUUACCAUUAUUUAACAUCACAGCUGACUUAGAAGCAAGCAAUGGUCCAUUUUCAAGGGCCACCAUUCUCUUUUGUCAUAUGCUAAAUAUUUGACAGGGUGUCAAAGGUUCUGCUCAAAUCCUUGGGUAAGACAGCUUUUUGAUGACCAAGGUGAGCAUGCUCAAAUAGAAUGGCUCACCUCAUCUACCAUUACAGACCACUUCUUACAUGCAGGCACCCACAAACACACCAGCCCCAUUGGCACUAGUUAGCCAUACAGCUACUGUCUUGUUCAGAUUGGCGUGUAAUGCAACAUGUGUGUGUCCCAGGAUUGGGGGAGGCUGGGUCCAGUUACCUUUCUGACUUGCCCUGCUUCCUCGUUGUUAACAGCAUUAUUAAAGGUGGUCUUGUGGAAGGGGACAAACUGUCAUUUCUGCUUAUUCCACCUUUGUGGAUGUUUUACUACAACUUGGGAACUAUCAACAUUAAAAAGAAUAAAGAAAAAAUAUGUCCUCUUAGGCUAUUUAUAAGCAAUGUUUUAACAGUUUCCAGAGAGGUAGCUCUGGUAGAUUGUGUAAGUCAUGUGAUAGACUUACCAGAGGUUGACUGAACCCAAAUCUCUGGGUUGCACGAUACAUGCAAACUAACACACAAACUAGAUUCAUACAA
This is an RNA transcript of Candoia aspera, 3230 nucleotides long. It is a transcript of the gene named acid-sensing ion channel 2-like, with no coding region annotated. Lineage: Eukaryota; Metazoa; Chordata; Lepidosauria; Squamata; Candoiidae. The record is from RefSeq and is a predicted model, not a curated record. The transcript is spliced from 11 exons.